GCUUUGGUUGCCUAGUGGUUGGAUUGUUCGCCUCAGAUGCGAAAGGUCGCGGUUUCGAACCCCGUACGAGUCA
This is a non-coding RNA of Potamilus streckersoni, 73 nucleotides long. The record is from the annotation of a GenBank genome assembly. NCBI's taxonomy places the organism in Eukaryota, Metazoa, Mollusca, Bivalvia, Unionida, Unionidae.